AGGCUCCAACAGCAUCAAUUGGGGAUUUGAUGGUCGCAAAUACCAGUUUACUGUCUCUGCUAACGCAUGGCCAGUAAACUUAAUUUGCGACCAUCAAAUCCCCAAUUGAUGCCAUCGGAGCUU
RNAcentral lists this small RNA (123 nucleotides) under Mytilus galloprovincialis (Mediterranean mussel). Lineage: Eukaryota; Metazoa; Mollusca; Bivalvia; Mytilida; Mytilidae. The record is from RNAcentral.